RNAcentral lists this ribosomal RNA (390 nucleotides) under uncultured bacterium. Its description in RNAcentral is "bacterial SSU rRNA". It matches the Rfam family "Bacterial small subunit ribosomal RNA", at positions 28 to 419 of the family's 1533-position model. The record is from RNAcentral.
GACGAACGCUGGCGGCGUGCUUAACACAUGCAAGUCGAGCGGUAAGGCCCUUUCGGGGGUACACGAGCGGCGAACGGGUGAGUAGCACGUGGGUGACCUGCCCUCAGCUCUGGGAUAAGCCUGGGAAACUGGGUCUAAUACUGGAUAUGACUCCACGGUGCAUGUCGUGGGGUGGAAAGCCUUGUGCGGCUGAGGAUGGGCCCGCGGCCUAUCAGCUUGUUGGUGGGGNGAUGGCCUACCAAGGCGACGACGGGUAGCCGGCCUGAGAGGGCGACCGGCCACACUGGGACUGAGACACGGCCCAGACUCCUACGGGAGGCAGCAGUGGGGAAUCUUGCGCAAUGGGCGAAAGCCUGACGCAGCGACGCCGCGUGAGGGAUGACGGCCUGG